CCUACGGGUGGCAGCAGUGGGGAAUAUUGGACAAUGGGGGGAACCCUGAUCCAGCGACGCCGCGUGAGUGAAGAAGUAUUUCGGUAUGUAAAGCUCUAUCAGCAGGGAAGAAAGGAAUGACGGUACCUGACUAAGAAGCCCCGGCUAACUACGUGCCAGCAGCCGCGGUAAUACGUAGGGAGCAAGCGUUAUCCGGAUUUAUUGGGUGUAAAGGGUGCGUAGACGGAGAAGCAAGUUAGUUGUGAAAUCCCUCGGCUUAACUGAGGAACUGCAACUAAAACUACUUCCCUUGAGUACUGGAGAGGAGAGUGGAAUUCCUAGUGUAGCGGUGAAAUGCGUAGAUAUUAGGAGCAACACCAGUGGCGAAGGCGACUUUCUGGACAGUAACUGACGUUGAGGCACGAAAGUGUGGGGAGCAAACAGGAUUAGAUACCCGGGUAGUC
Molecule: ribosomal RNA, 443 nt
Filed under: uncultured bacterium
Lineage: Bacteria
Description: partial 16S ribosomal RNA
Rfam family: Bacterial small subunit ribosomal RNA
Source: RNAcentral